Molecule: unclassified non-coding RNA, 1910 nt
Filed under: Hevea brasiliensis (rubber tree)
Lineage: Eukaryota; Viridiplantae; Streptophyta; Magnoliopsida; Malpighiales; Euphorbiaceae
Source: RNAcentral
AGGUGAUUUGCAGAGCACUGUUCUUGCAAUGAGAGACUGUGCAUAUGAAGCUAGUGUUGCUCUAUCCGCUUUUGGUCGUGUAUCAAGGGGCCAUACUGCUUUGACUUCUGAAUCUGGCACCAUGCUUGAUGAGGUUCUUGCAAUAACUGAAGAUCUGCAUGAUGUUUAUAUAUUGGGAAAGGAGGCUUCUGCAGUACACCAUUCUCUUAUGGAGGAUCUUUCAAAGGCAAAUGCAAUCCUUCUUCCACUUGAAUCAGUAUUGUCUAAAGAUGUGACUGCCAUGACAGAUGCAAUGAAUAGAAAAAGAGGGAAGUACCCCAAAUUCAUGGAAAAGCCAUAUACCAAUCUUAUCGUGUGCGAAUUAGGGAGGCUAUUCAGACAUUUAUGCCCCUGGUACCAUCAUUUACAUUAUCCGUGAAGGGACUAUAUUUGAUACUGAUGAGGCUGGCACGAACUGCAAGUCUUCAUGCUGGCAAUCUCCAUAAGGCUCUUGAAGGACUAGCAGAAAGCCAGGAUGUAAAAUCACAGGGAAUUAGUUUGUCAAGGGCGGAUCUUGAUGGUGGUCCUAAUGAAUUUGAUGACAAGGGAAGUGAUAGACUCUCUACUUCUGAUGGUGGGAGCACUAAAGAUUUCCUUGGUGAUACUGGACUCUCUUUGCAAGAUAAAGGAUGGAUUUCUCCACCAGACAGCGUAUGCAGUGGCAGCUCAGAAUCUGGAAUUACUGAAGCAAGUCUUGUGGAUAGCUCCAGUGAUCUGGCAGAAGUAAUAGGACAAUUUUCACAUAGCAGGGUUGUGACAGACUGUCUUAAUUCUGCGCCAUCUUCUCAAGCUCAUUACCAGGAACUUUCACAAUCUGGUCAGUUAAUAUCCAAAUGUGAGGAGGUGAACAAUAGUGAUAAUAGUUAUGUUACAGGAGCUAGUGAGUUAAAUGAACACCGAAAAUCUGCGGCAUUAUCAAGUGGUGAAGCUGCAACUGCCCAUGUUGAGUCUUUGCUACCUCUGAAUGAGGACAACUCAACACUGAAAUAUGAUGUUAAAGAUGAUGGCAUAUCCUCAUUAAGCAAAGUUAAGAUUGAAGAUGAAAAUCUUGAAGCUUCGCAUCCUAAUUCUCACAUUGGGAACAGAGUGGCCAGAGGUAAAAAUGCAUAUGCUAUCUCAGUGCUAAGGCGAAUUGAGAUGAAAAUAGAUGGUCGAGAUAUUGCUGAAAACAGAGAAAUUAGUGUUGGAGAGCAAGUGGAUUAUCUAAUUAAGCAAGCAACGAGUGUAGAUAAUCUUUGCAACAUGUAUGAAGGUUGGACACCUUGGAUUUGAACUUGUGAAGUCUGUGCUUUCUUGACAGAUCCUGAAUUCUAUGCAAGAAUGUCUGAGCAUGGUGCUGCGACAAUGAAUGGCUAGACACUGGUCUAGAACAUUUUCCUAGCUCAAUUAAGCUUCGGGACAUAUUGCCUACAGCCCUAUCCAUCUGGUUUCAGGACAAUGAAGAGUCGAUAGCACUCUUUUGUCAGAAAUUGCAAUCAAUUAGUCAUGAGCGCUUUAAGGGGUACUAUCCUAGUGUCUCCACUUGACCAAUGCCAUCCCCGUUGAGGAAUCAGAGACAGAAGGGGCACAGGGCAUAUCCCAAGCCUGCACGAGACAUGUAGCAUCUUAACCAUGCAGCAGCAUAUGCAGUGUAGACAGGAAACAUUAUGCCCUGCAAAGAUUCAACAAUCUCGCCAUCUGCUUCCAAGAGGGGUUUCAACUUUAACAGUUCAAAACUCUGUAGAUGGCAACAAGUGAAUGCAGAAUUCCAUGCAUUCAAGAGAUUCUCCGGCUUGGUGCCAGUCAGAUUAGUCGGCAUUGAAUUAAUGCUUCCCCAGAAGCAGGCAUCGUGCAACCCAGACCACCAACAUCGCUAUUGUAUUCGGUGUUUA